RNAcentral lists this ribosomal RNA (253 nucleotides) under uncultured bacterium. Its description in RNAcentral is "partial 16S ribosomal RNA". It matches the Rfam family "Bacterial small subunit ribosomal RNA", at positions 524 to 776 of the family's 1533-position model. The record is from RNAcentral.
UACGUAGGGUGCAAGCGUUAAUCGGAAUUACUGGGCGUAAAGGGUUUGUAGGUGGUCUGCUAAGUCAGACGUGAAAUCCCUCAGCUUAACUGGGGAACUGCGUCUGAUACUGGCGGACUUGAGGACAGGAGAGGAACGCGGAAUUCCAGGUGUAGCGGUGAAAUGCGUAGAUAUCGGGAGGAACACCAGUGGCGAAGGCGGGUCUCUGGGCCGAAACUGACGCUGAGGAGCGAAAGCAUGGGGAGCGAACAGG